RNAcentral lists this ribosomal RNA (937 nucleotides) under uncultured bacterium. RNAcentral describes it as "bacterial SSU rRNA". It matches the Rfam family "Bacterial small subunit ribosomal RNA", at positions 46 to 998 of the family's 1533-position model. The record is from RNAcentral.
GCUUACACAUGCAGUCGAACGAGAACGGAAUAUAGCUUGCUAUAUUUGUCAGCUAAGUGGCGCACGGGUGAGUAAUAUAUAGAUAACCUGCCCUCAAGAAAGGAAUAACAGUUGGAAACGACUGCUAAUGCCCUAUAUGCCUUUAAUACAUAAGUAUGCAAGGGAAACGCUUUAGUGCUUGAGGAUGGGUCUGUAUGGUAUCAGCUUGUUGGUGAGGUAAUGGCUCACCAAGGCUAUGACGCCUAACUGGUUUGAGAGGAUGAUCAGUCACACUGGAACUGAGACACGGUCCAGACUCCUACGGGAGGCAGCAGUGGGGAAUAUUGCACAAUGGACGAAAGUCUGAUGCAGCAACGCCGCGUGGAGGAUGACACAUUUCGGUGCGUAAACUCCUUUUAUAUAGGAAGAUAAUGACGGUACUAUAUGAAUAAGCACCGGCUAACUCCGUGCCAGCAGCCGCGGUAAUACGGAGGGUGCAAGCGUUACUCGGAAUCACUGGGCGUAAAGAGCGUGUAGGCGGGUAUAUAAGUCAGAAGUGAAAUCCAAUAGCUUAACUAUUGAACUGCUUUUGAAACUGUAUACCUAGAAUGUGGGAGAGGUAGAUGGAAUUUCUGGUGUAGGGGUAAAAUCCGUAGAGAUCAGAAGGAAUACCGAUUGCGAAGGCGAUCUACUGGAACAUUAUUGACGCUGAGACGCGAAAGCGUGGGGAGCAAACAGGAUUAGAUACCCUGGUAGUCCACGCCCUAAACGAUGCACACUAGUUGUUGUGAGGCUCGACCUUGCAGUAAUGCAGUUAACACAUUAAGUGUGCCGCCUGGGGAGUACGGUCGCAAGAUUAAAACUCAAAGGAAUAGACGGGGACCCGCACAAGCGGUGGAGCAUGUGGUUUAAUUCGACGAUACACGAGACCUUACCUGACUUGACAUAGUAGACUUCU